UAGNCUAACUGAAAUCACAAAUCACAAAAUGUGCUUAUUGUGAUAACGUAAGGGAAAAAAUUGAUAUUACCUUACUAUAAGUGUUGUCUAAAUAACUGGUGCCAGAAGACUCGGUAACACCAGAAACGCGAACGUUAGUCGUCUUAAACAGGCGUAAAGGGUAAGUAGGCUGCUUUAAAGUCUAUUUUUAAAUAAGCUAGUUAAUAAUAAUCCACCCUCCCACUUUAUUACUUGCCCCUCUCCUUAGGAGAGGGCUAGUAACUUAGGUCAGCAGAGCUAAGGGAGAAGCAACUCUGCUUUCUUAUUUGCUAAGGCAGAAUGCCUUAGCAAAUAAGAAUAAAAAUAAGCAGGGGUCUAUUGCUAGGGAGGGUGGGCCAUAUCUUUUAAUAAAUUUUCAGACCUUAAAUGAUAAAUUAAGGCUAAGUUAAAUGAAAAUAGGGUAUUAUUAUUAGUAGUCCUGACCUUAGGCAAGAAUCCCCCUCGCCUAAUCUAAUUUUAAUAUAAAUUAGAAUAAACGAGCUAGGCGAGUCUAGCUAUCCCCUGCCUUCUCCUGCUAGGCAGGAGAGGAAAGAGGACAGCGACUCCUCUACUACGGCUCUCCUCUAUGACCUCUUUUCUCCUCUCCAAUGGAAGGAGUCUAGCCUUAAACGGAGGGAGGAUAUACGAAGGGUAGCCCUCCCCUCUCCUGCCAAUCUCCUGCCUCUCCAAAGGAGAGGCAGGAGAAGGAGAGGGGGGAGAGAUAUUAUUUAUAUAUUAAUUAUUAAUGGAGACAAAAAUAGAUACACUUAGAGUCUAGCAUCAUCAUUGAGAUCAACCAAAUAAUGUUUAGUGUAAGGGCGACAUCUAAAGAUACUAAGUAGAAUACUAACGGUGAAAACUUUUUAUCUGGUAAUGAUUGACGCUGAGGUACGAAAGUGAGAACAGGGAAUAGGAUUAGAUACCCAGUUACCUCUCACCGUCAACGAUGAAUGGUAGUUGUUAGUUUAAUUAAAUUAGUGACGAUGUUAACGCGAUAACCAUUCCGCCUUGAGAGUACGGUUGCAAAACUGAAACCAAAAAAAUUAGUCGGUCUCGGAGCAAACGAAGGUAAGUCAU
This 1095-nucleotide ribosomal RNA is filed under the name Inocybe cf. fuscidula EL1604. RNAcentral describes it as "16S ribosomal RNA". It matches the Rfam family "Bacterial small subunit ribosomal RNA", at positions 411 to 943 of the family's 1533-position model. The record is from RNAcentral. Lineage: Eukaryota; Fungi; Basidiomycota; Agaricomycetes; Agaricales; Inocybaceae.